ACAAACACCAGAGCUUUGAAAGUAAUACGUACUGACAAAGGGUAAAGAUUGAAGACAGACUCAUUGGAUUUGGAGUUGGAAAGAACCAUGAAAGACCUUCUGUCCAAUGAGUGCUCUGGCUGACUUAAUCAUCUCUAGUUAUGAGGCAUCCCAAUUCUUUCUAUAGUAGGUGACAGGAUUAUAAGGAUGAGUACAAACAAAUAAAAUAGGGUCCCUGCUAUGAAGGAAAGUACACACAAGACCGAAGAGUCAGAGGGGCCUUGGAUAGAAGUCAUAUUUAAGCUGAGAUGUAGUGAAUAAGUAAGUGAGAGUAGGUUGGAGAUAGGGGAGAGUUGGGAGGUACUGCAGACAAUCAGAUCAGCUUAGGUAAGGGCCUUCAGGCAGGACGAAAAGCAUCCUGCUGAGGAAGGGGUGGCGGACUACUUUUAGAGAAAUGGGCAAGGAUCAACCACAGUGUAAAGGAUCUUAAAGGCCAAAUUAAGGGCUUAGUGCGCAGA
Molecule: long non-coding RNA, 497 nt
Filed under: Homo sapiens (human)
Lineage: Eukaryota; Metazoa; Chordata; Mammalia; Primates; Hominidae
Description: non-protein coding lnc-C12orf40-2:1
Source: RNAcentral